UUGCAAUCGGAGUGCGUACGUGGCAUACACAUGUAAUUUUCACACAUCAAAAAAUUAAAUUAAAAGCUGUAAAUAAACCUAAAAUCUAAACCGUUGGAUAAACUUCAUAAAAUCUGAUGGUUAUAAAGCCAAUAGGGACUGACGGCAUCAACCACUGACAAAUGAUGCCCAGCUGCCGCCACUGCAAACAACCCCUUCCGUCUGGGCCCCUCUUUCCCGCUUCAAAUUUCAAUCUCUCGGCAAGGUUAUCUUUAGUAUUCGCUCGUCAAAUUUUCUUUUAAUUUUCAGUUUCUCUUCUUUGGUUAGCUUCGAUGGGCCUUUCUUGGGUCAUCUCCCAGAUCCAUACUUCUCUUAUAUCCCUUUUAAUUUCUAUUAAUAAUAAUAGAAAUCUGCUACCCUUUGCAAAACCUUUGGCUGCCAAAGACAGCUCCACCGGAGGAAGCCUCCUCAACACCUCCCAAAGGUAGUUUAUGGGUAAUACCCUCAAUCGCGACAGAUCCGACUCGCUUUCCUGGAUCGAGAUAGCGCCCGUCGGAGGUUGGAGUAUGUGUGGCACGGGAGAGCUAGCGACGGCCGGACUGACAAAGAGGAGGAUGCUAUAGCGGCGGAGUAAGCUGGUGUAGGCGUGGUGGUGUUGGUGGAGUUACGAAACGUCAGAAACUACAAGUCAGUUCAUGGGGGUUAUGUUGCUAGAAAUAAAGGUGUUGGAAGGUGCAUUGUCCAAACAAGCAAAAAUUCAUAAAUUCAUUGGUAGUCAUUUUCUUCUAUUGAAAAAUAACCUUUUUAACAAAUGAGAGAUAUUUUAGCUGGAUAAUACCAAAACAGUUCAGAAUAUCAAGGAAGUUGAUGCCCA
Molecule: long non-coding RNA, 853 nt
Organism: Tripterygium wilfordii
Lineage: Eukaryota; Viridiplantae; Streptophyta; Magnoliopsida; Celastrales; Celastraceae
Exons: 2
Source: RefSeq, a predicted model, not a curated record